GGCACUAUUAACCCAGAAGGGGGAGAAGAGGGGUCGUUAAUCUCCCCAAAUGGCUGAGAGACGCUUUUGAUUUUGCCGGCCAACAUAACUGGACAGUGCGUAAGAGUAGCUGAGGUCUCGCGCAGCGAGCGAGAGAGGAGCACCGCUGACAACCGACGGAGCUGCAGUGAUAAAACCAGAGGUCCGGAUUUCCCCCCCUAUGUCCUGCCUGCAGAGCCCCAUUCACCACAGACAUGAGGGGUCAAAUUAAACACAGGGGUCAAUAAACACGGAGAUAUUCUCACCUCUUCCUCCACGAACACCAGUUGCAGACAGUUUUGGCAAUAAGAAGUCCCGCUGUGGCGUCACGUGCCGGAGAAGAGGGAAAAAAGGAGUUUGGGGAGCUGAUGCGAAGCUUUCCGAGGCUCAACAACGAGUAAACUCACUGUUGAUACUCGCUGUCGGUAUAAGAGACACACGGCUGUUGCUGUCAGCGCGCAGACGAACCACCAGCUGCGGAAUGGGAAAUGACGUCAAGCACGACGGAAUAAGGUGCGCAAGAUCCGGUCAGUGCUUUCAAAAUAAAAGCCCCCCGCAUGGACGCGUUGUUUUUGUUUUCGUGAUCAUUGAUCAGUAUUGUCAUCAACUUAAAUAUGAUGAGAUGUGAUAAAUAUGAGUAAACUGAAGAAUGCACUAAUUCAAACGGGAACGUUUUUGAUUUUGGAGAGUGGGUUUGAGUUGGUAAAGCGUUUGUAUGGUAGAACAUCACAAUGAGCAACGUCUUCCCGUGACCCCAAAAUACUGAACUAAAUGGCAUGCUUGUUUUACAUUUUGUAUUGUCUUUUAUUUCCAUCUUCUUCCAGCAUUUGCCGACUUUUCUUUUGUCCAGACAAAGGCCAAAAAUGUUUCUACUGAUCUACGAUUAUCUGUCCUCCCUAUUUUUAGUGUGACGUUCAUAAAGAAAUAUUAAGAUUAACAGUACUUUAUUUUGAAGCAAAUCGGUCUUCCAUCAUAGAUAAUAGUUAGUGAACUUGAUGGCUGUUCAAGGAAAGUGGCUCUAGGAAGUCGGAAUAAACCACACCUUCCUGGUUGAUGUAUUUUCCCAGUCAAUCUAAACCAAAAUACAUUUUUUGUUUAACUCCAGUUUGGCAACAUUAAAUCUACUUUGUUGUUAAAUGUUAAAAUGUCAAAAAAAUAUUUUGAUCUGUUAAAUUUUGUUUCUUUUGGAUGCUCCCACGAGCACUGCAGAUAUUCUUACGUAAGAAACAAGUCAUCUUGGUACAAAUUAGAAACGUAAUCUAGGACUCUUAUGAUGUUUACUUUGGCAUUUACAACCAAAAGUAAAUCUUGCGCAAAGCAACAGGAAGUCGUUGUCUGUCUUUCUCUUUGUAAACUAUGAAUGCAAACUAAAUUUUUCUUCUUGGUCUGUUUGAAUGCACUUAUUCAAAGUCCCUUUGGAUAAAUGACAUAUAAUGUAUUGUAAAUCAAAUACAUCCUAUACAAGUAAUUUCAAUCUUAGAAAAAAUGAUCGCAUUCAGAAACCGGU
This is a long non-coding RNA of Gasterosteus aculeatus aculeatus (three-spined stickleback), 1525 nucleotides long. The record is from Ensembl. Lineage: Eukaryota; Metazoa; Chordata; Actinopteri; Perciformes; Gasterosteidae.